AUGGAAGGUCAUGCGCCCUUCCAGCCUAUCCCCUCUUGCUUCUCCUUCUUCUCCAUGGCUCCACCAAGGAAGUUUUCAGCCGCAGAGAAAGGAAAGGCCCGCCAGGUCGAGUCUUCCUCUCCCCCGCCCAAGCGCGGUCGAGGUCGCCCUCGCAAGCACCCUGUGGCCUCCACGGCGGUCCCCCGUGGUCGCGGAGGUGGCUCUCAGCGCGGCGAUGAGCGGCUGGCCAUGGUCGGCGGGCGUGCUCCGGCCGUGCGACCCCCGAGGCCGCGCCUCCACACUGCGGAGGUGCUGCCGGAGUUCAUGGUGUGGGCGGUAGAGCCGUCCAGCGCCCGGCUUCAGCUCCCUCACUUCCUCCUGGGUGAGCUCCCAGCUGGCGCCUUGGGUGGCCUCUGGCUCCAAGCGGAUGGCUGCUGCAGCCGGACUUCGUGGGCUUCGCUGGAGGUCUCCGCUGCAGGGAACCUGUCCCUGACCCACGGCUGGCAGACGUUUGCUCGCGCGCGUGGUCUCCGCCGCCGGUGCUCUCUGCACUUCAAGUUCGACGGCGACGCCACCCUCUACAUGAGGGUGUUCGGGGAAGAUGGUCGCCAUGCGGGGUGCUGCCCUGAAGACGACGACCGGGGCCGGGGGCUCAGCCCCGGCGAGGAUGGAGAGGGUAGCGCGUGGGCGGUUGGCGACGCCCGCGACUCCUCAAGCUUUACCAGCUCUUCCUCGGGUAGCGACUCUUCUAGCAGCGGCCGUGGCCAGCCUCCACGCCGUCGCGCCUGCUUGGAGGGCGGCAGCGGGUCCGCUCGCUGUCGCGCCCUGGUGAAGCGCGAGAGGGAGUCCGCCUGA
Molecule: ribosomal RNA, 834 nt
Filed under: Triticum aestivum (bread wheat)
Lineage: Eukaryota; Viridiplantae; Streptophyta; Magnoliopsida; Poales; Poaceae
Description: partial small subunit ribosomal RNA
Source: RNAcentral